CGGGUGAGUAACGCGUGAGGAACCUGCCUCAAAGAGGGGGACAACAGUUGGAAACGACUGCUAAUACCGCAUAAGCCCACAGCUCGGCAUCGAGCAGAGGGAAAAGGAGCAAUCCGCUUUGAGAUGGCCUCGCGUCCGAUUAGCUAGUUGGUGAGGUAACGGCCCACCAAGGCAACGAUCGGUAGCCGGACUGAGAGGUUGAACGGCCACAUUGGGACUGAGACACGGCCCAG
Molecule: ribosomal RNA, 233 nt
Filed under: uncultured bacterium
Lineage: Bacteria
Description: partial 16S ribosomal RNA
Rfam family: Bacterial small subunit ribosomal RNA
Source: RNAcentral